Molecule: long non-coding RNA, 2231 nt
Organism: Hemibagrus wyckioides
Lineage: Eukaryota; Metazoa; Chordata; Actinopteri; Siluriformes; Bagridae
Exons: 3
Source: RefSeq, a predicted model, not a curated record
GCUGUCAAAGACAAUGACUCAUGGGUAAUUUGGCUGACAGGUCAUUCCAGGCGAACAGAGACCAUUAGCGUGAGGCGUGUUAAAUGACGCCCGUCUCUAUGGGUCUCUCCUGACAGACUGCUCCGUCCCCCCUGUCUCUCUGCUUGGUCAGUGGAGCAGUUUGCUUCAGUCCCACGGCGAGAACCCGUCUCCUGGUUCACUACUGCGCUUGAUCAUCUUUAAUCGACUGGCGUUUCUCAGGCGAGCGCUGGGAGGAGUCUGCCUCAUCACUCAUCCUCAACAGGACACUGAAGGAGAGAAAGACUGGAGAAGAGAAGUUCAUGCUGAAGGUCGUGCGGUAAGAAAUGACUGUCGUUCAUCAUCUCCUCCUCCUCCUCCUCAUUAUUAAUGCUGACGGAGCAGAUUGAAGAGAGAAGGUGCUGCGUGCUGUGCCUUCACCAACUUUUUGGACAUUUGAAAGUUCAGCAGUGCAGUAAUAAAGGUAGCGAUGGAGAAAGAGAGUGUGGGCUGUGAUUGGCCGGCCCCUGGACGAACACUUCCUGGGCAGGGAGCCGAGCGUUGGCGCGGCACCAGACUGAUAGAAACCCUGCGGCCACUGAACAGACUUCAUCCUAAUGACUGGAGGUGAAACGAUUAGAGAGGGAGGCGAGCGGGAGGCUGCUGAUGUUACUGCUGAUUUUCCUGAUGAGGGUUAGCGUGGACAGGUCCAUGAGAGCAACAACAUUCACUUCACUUUCAUUCUACUCACUUCAUUUCUCUGCUAUUUGAUUUUGUUUACAUUUUUACUGGCAUGAGUGUGUUUCAUUACAGCGCAGUUCAGAGGUCCAGAGCUUUUGUGGAUGCUGUAAUGAUCAUCAUGUUUAUCUGAAGUCGGAGGUUGUGUGGAAUGAACCUACAUACAGUAUGUUUGGCAACAUCAACACUUCCUCAUGGUUUAUUUCUCUUAAAGCACAACAAUUUAACCAUUACUGUGUUAUUUACUAAAAAAAAAGACACAUACGUCUUAUUUGUUUCUAGAAUUUCUGAAGCAAGAUAGUUCCUUUUAGUUAGUUAGUUAGUUAGUCUCGAAACUGUAAACUUCUCUUUAUUCUCUCACACGAGGUAAAAAGGUCACAGCUGAGAAACUACCAAGAAGAGUAAACUCCUCUGUCCUGAAGACAUCAGAAGAGUUUAAGUCACAGAUUUUGUUCAUUAACAUUUGGCAGACGCCCUUAUCCAAAGCAAAUUACAUCUAAUCACACUUUAUACAACUGAACAGUUAAGGUUAAGGGCCUUCCUCAGGGGCCCUUGCCUAGUGGAUCUGAGAUUUGAACUCACAUCCUUCUGCUCAGUAGUCCAGCACCUUAACAUCCCCAUAUCCAUCAUAUCAACAGCUACACACUGUGAAUGAGCCGUUGCUAAGGAAACGAUAAGGUAUGAGAGUGAGUACAUUAAUAUAAAGCUGCGCUCCAGUCAGAGAAUUAGAGAGAAUUAAUCACCACCUGAUCCACCAAUCAGAGUCUCAGCAUGUCGGUUUGUAAAUUACAUUUAAUAAGCAGCUUUGUAUUGUUUCCUUUCACUACAGUCAUUACAUCAUCAUUUUAUUUUUAACAGUAAACAAAUCUCUUCCUGCUUCUUUCUCUUUCACUGCAGUGUUUAUUUCAACAUUCCUCUGUGUGUGUGUGUGUGUGUGUGUGUGUGUAGUGAUUUCCUGCCCCAUUUGUGUUGUAAGAGUCAUUGGCAGAACACAAUAUGGAGGAGAAAUCGAUAACCCCGCUCUCUCUGAGAACACUAAACACUCAUGUACGUGUUCUUGCUGUGCGGCUGAAGGCUGUGGAGAAUUCAUUGUGUUGUUUUUUCCCCUUUCUACUUGCUCAGGAUUGUGUGUUAACUGCAUAGCGCGACAGCAGCAUUGCCAUUGUUUGCUCGUGUCCUUGUUAGCGAAACCGAUCGGCACUCGUGGCUUAUUUAUUUGUUUGCGAAAGCUGAUUUGCGUCUGUGUUUAAAUUCGUCUCCACGGGAGAAAAUGAACCUCGGAGCUCCGUCUGAGAGCAGCACGUAGAGGCGACGCAGCGGGGAAGUGCAGCACUCAGUCUGAGAGCCAACACGCAAUUCAGUCUUCAGAGCAGAACAUUCAGAACAUUUACUGUUUCACACACUUCAUCUGAGGGAGAAGGAGAACCGGGCCAACUAGAAACGUAUAAGGAAAAAUAAGAAUUAAUUAAACAAACAAACAAACAAAUAAAUAAAUA